Molecule: ribosomal RNA, 402 nt
Filed under: uncultured bacterium
Lineage: Bacteria
Description: bacterial SSU rRNA
Rfam family: Bacterial small subunit ribosomal RNA
Source: RNAcentral
UCGGGAAUUUUGGGCAAUGGGCGAAAGCCUGACCCAGCAACGCCGCGUGAGGGAUGAAGUAUUUCGGUAUGUAAACCUCGAAAGAAUGGGAAGAAUAAAUGACGGUACCAUUUAUAAGCUCCGGCUAACUACGUGCCAGCAGCCGCGGUAAUACGGAGGGAGCAAGCGUUGUUCGGAUUUACUGGGCGUAAAGGGCGCGUAGGCGGUGCGGUAAGUCACUUGUGAAAUCUCUGAGCUUAACUCAGAACGGCCAAGUGAUACUGCUGUGCUAGAGUGCGGAAGAGGCAACCGGAAUUCUUGGUGUAGCGGUGAAAUGCGUAGAUGUCAAGAGGAACACCUGAGGCGAAGACGGGUUGCUGGGCCGACACUGACGCUGAUGCGCGAAAGCCAGGGGAGCAAACG